Long non-coding RNA from Oryzias sinensis (Chinese medaka), 6639 nucleotides. NCBI's taxonomy places the organism in Eukaryota, Metazoa, Chordata, Actinopteri, Beloniformes, Adrianichthyidae. The record is from Ensembl.
AAGCAUUUGAUGUCAAAAACUGGAUAGUCUUAAAAUUCAACAGCUUGAAUCUGUCUGCUUUCUUCAGAUAUGGCCGAGUGCCCAAACAAGUCCAGCCCUUGAUGUACGCCGCCAAAGACGAUUUGCACUCGCCUGCAUCCUCUGACACGUCCAAAGUUCCCGCCAAGAGGGCAAAGUCGGUCGAACCUCCACCAGUGCAGAAGUCCAAAAAGCCCAAACUGGUCACCCUGAGGUCGUCCAGGUCAGAGUUUAGUGACGAGGAGAACGAAAACGAGUGGGAGGAGGAGGAGCACCACCUCACCCGGAGCUCCAGUCGAGACGGCGACACUCACGGCUUUGUUCAGAGCAGCCUGCACGCCUCCAACACGGAGAUUUCAGAGGUGGAUGACACCAUGGUGGAGCUUGAUAUCUUGGACAGUAUGCCCGAUGUGCUGGGCCUUUCCCAAGAUGCCCUGUGUCCUGACUCAACCUGUCAGCAGGCAGAUCAUGACACAGGCACUUCUGAGCCCAGUGAGCACCAGCUGGACCUGCUUGUUGAUGUUAUAGACUUCAUUUCCUCGGAACAAACUGAAGGUAUGCGACUUGUCCGUUUUGUUUGUUUUUGUCUUAGGUGCGUCUGGUACCUGAUGCCGUAAAUUAAAUUGGACUUUUCAUGUUUCUUUCAGUGUCUCAGGAUGAGAGCUACACUGAAGCAGCUCAAACCCUUUUGACCAUUGGUAACCGAGCUCAAAUUUCUCCGUCUGCACAGAGUGGAGAUACCUUAGAAGAAUGCACUGCAGGAACAUCAGUUGGUGUCAGUGAGUUCACAUAUGCACAAGAGGAGAUUUUGACAGUUUCACCCCAGAAAAGGGUCCCUUCUGGGAAAUCUGCAGAUCAGAAAGUGACAUCGCCUCCCACCGAAAAGCACCAGAGUGCUGAAGUGGAAAGCAAUAACUCGCUUCCCGUUGAGACAAGUGAUCAGAACGUUGAUCAAUUGGGUUUUAAAUCUAUAGAGAAGUCUUCACUUAUAAAGGCUGGUCCGUGUUCUAAGGUGAAGCCUAAACCAAACCUCGGUCACAGCUCAAGGACUGCAAAACCGGUAUCUCACACUGAGAUGUCGACAGAAGGGGGAGCUGGAAUAAGCUGCUCAGUUGCUCAAUGUGUUUCUCAAGAUGAUGAGACUUCACUAUCUGCUGAAGAAACAUCCCCUGGAAUAUCAGCUUCUGCUGCAGCAUUGUUUAAAGAUAACACUUCCUCUCAGCGCGCCUGCUUGGAUCAGGUUGAAACAGGUGCAGCAGAUCAGAAUCUCCUGAAAAGCCAGAGUCAGACUGUAAUUCAGUCCCAGUUGGGGCCUCCUGUAAAGUCCAAGGCUGGCUUAAAUAAACCAGUUGAAGCAGUGCCAGAGGUUAAAAAAGCGUCAAGCAACGAUCACAGCCCAGUUCCAGACAGAACCAGCAAACCUCAACCCUCGGUUGCAGACAACUCUUCUGUGAGUCACACAGGAGAAGGUGAUGUAAAAAGUCCUUCUCAGCCCAGAGGCAGACUGCCAAAAGUCAAACCCAAACCAAUCUUACUGCAGACGUCAAGAAUAGCUAGAUCCAAACGGCAAACCACUGAAGGGGUGGCAGAGAAAGAGUCAAUUGAAAGUCAGAAUACUUCAACUAAAAUGCCAGCAGAACUUCCAGAUGAACGGACUACAAGUGAGGAGACAACAAGUCCUAAAUGUCUAAAUCAAGCAGCACCUGUUCAGAGCGCUACAGAAACUCUGAUCUCUGCCAAAGUCGUGCCUGAGCUCUGUGUGGAGCAGACCAGCAAAGACUCUGAAGCCACUUCUGAAACUGUGUCAACUGAACAAACAGACCCAGAACUACCAGCUCCACAUGGGUCACAUUUGGGUUCAGAAAGAAAAGAAGAUUCUGCUGCAGUUGCUGAAGCAACCUCCAAUCAAGAUGAGAAAAAAACGGGAUCUUCUCAGUCAAGAAAGGGUCGACUACAAAAGGUUAAACCCAAACCAAACAUACCACAGUUGUUGAGAGGUGCAAGAUCCAAAGCUCAGAACACAGAAGAUGCCAUCCAAAAAAAUCUGGAGCUUCACAAAAACCCAUCCGUAGAGGCGGAAACACAAACAAAACUCACCCAAAAACUGUCUGCAAAUAAGGAGAUGAAGACAAAAGAUGGAGUUGAAGAUCAAGAAGAAUUGGGUGGAGCACCAUCAGGUCAAAGUCCUACAAAAGCCAAGAAUCUCUCCAUCGAGUCCAGUUUGGAGCAGGCAACUGGAGAUGCACUAUCAAUUCCUGAUUUAACCAAAGAAAGUGCAGCAUCCCAUGUUGAAGAUCCAGUUUUAAAGGCCUGUGAGGUCACAGAACCAGAACAAGGACUACAUUUGGAUUUUAUUGAAAGUGCAAAUUCAGCUUCUUUAAAUAAGUCUGUAGAAGAGUUGGCAGUCAUGCAAAAAGAGGAAAAAUCGUUGCCAACAGGUCAGACAAAGAGAGAUCGACUGUCAAAAAUCAAACCAAACCUUCAAACAUCAAGAGCUGCAAGAUCUACAUCUCAAACCACUGAAGAAGUUACGCAAAAAGACUUGUUUCCAGGUGAAGGACCUGAUUUCACGAAGGUGGAACCAGAACAGGAACUGUCUGUAAAUAAAGACACAUGGAGAGAGGCUGGGUUUGUAGACCCCAAAGUAUUGACAGACAAGAGCACCAAAGAAAGCCCAAAUCCCUGUGAAGAUCAGCCUGAGCCAUGUAAGGAGCAAACCAUAAGAGAUAGAGGAGCAACGUCUGAUUCAGCUCCAGAAAAUCUGUCAUACUGUUUUGGGCUACAGUCAAAUGUGGAGCCAGGAAAAAGUGGAAAGCCUUCAGCAGCAGCACAGGAACCAAGUGCAUCUGAUGAAAGGAAGACGGGUCAAAUCAAAAAACGUAAACCCAAACCAAACCUGGUACAGACAUCAAGAGCUCUGAGGUCCAAAUCCUCAAAAGAUUCACAGGAUAAGAACUCAAGUUCCAUAAUAGAACCCAAAGUCCAUGAAGAUGCCAUGUCAUUGGUGGAAGCAAACCUGUCUUUGGACAGUCAAUCUGAAACCGUUCCUACUUCAACAGUACAGCCUGUUAUGACUUUAGACUCAACUUCCACUCCAACAACAUACUCUUCUUCAAAUGACGAUCAAAGGGAAUUAACUAGACUGGAUUCGAUUGAUAUGAUUGCAGAAAUAUCAGAUCAGAGCACCACAGAGAACCAGAACUUCCCUGAAGUCCAGAUUGGUAACACCAGAGUUGAAGAAUCUCUGACGGAGUUCUCUGAUAAAAACCUAAAAUCUCAUGUUGAACCAACUGAUUCAAGAGUUCCAGAGGCACCAAAGCUGGGUUUGGAUCCAACUUCAUCUGUUGCAGGGCCUCCAGCCGUCAAACAAGGUUCUGAAGUUGCAUCUUCUUGUUUAUCAGUGAGGAACAGAUUAUCAAAAAUUAAACCCAAACCCAACUUGACAAAAACCUCAAGAGCUGCAAGAUUGAGACCUCAGAUCUCAAAAGAAUCAGCACAAAGUUCUGAAUCCUGCAAAAAGUUUGAACCAGAAAACAGCAACAUCUCCAAUUCUGUUUCAGGUUCAGAACAAUCCAAGAAUGCAUUCCCUGCAGAAGAGAAACAUCCUAGACGUGUAGAUCAGGCGGACACGGAUGCAGCCACAACAGGUUGCAGUGCUCCAAAGAAACAGAACAUCUGUCAAGUCCUGGUUGAAGAACAAACAUCUGCAGACCAGGCAUCGGCCUCUGAGAUGAGAGAGGAAGCAUCUCCGGUUGGGAAGUCACCAGAUGUUCGGCAUUUAUCUGCACAGGCGUGUUCAGAAGAAGCUGAAUCAAACGCUAAGUUUAGGAGAUUACAGAAAAUUCGCCCCAAACCGAAUUUACCAAAUAAAUCAAGAACGGCAAGAAUUGGAACACCAACCAUAAAUGACCCAAAGGAAAAAGAUUUGAGUGAAACUCAAUUUGAACAAGACUUGAUUGAACAAACAUCUGCAGGAAACCAGAACAUCACUGAAGUUCCCAAUGAAGAUCAGACCACUGGAAAAAUUGAGGAAACAUCCUCUUUUGUUGAGGUGAGAAAUUUAGCAUGUGAAGAAGCAGAAAAGGGAGAAGUGUCCUUUGUGGGGCAGGAGCUCCAUCUUGCUGCAUCAGGAACCAAGCAACAUGUUGGUGAAGAGGAUGAAGCUGCAUCUACGUCUCAAUCCAAGAGGAGGCGUUUUCAGAAACCUGAACCAAACCUCCCUGUGACAUCAAAAGGCGCUAAAUCUAAACCCGAAUUCCCUAAAGAGCCAGUCCAACUCACGCUCGCUAUGAAGCAACCACAGAUCUCCACCUCCAAAUCUAUGGAGCAACCUCAGAUCUCUAUUUCUAAAUCUGUGGAGCAACCUCAGAUCUCCACCUCCAAAUCUAUGGAUCAACCUCAGAUCUCCAUCUCCAAAUCUUCUGACCGCUCAACAUCAAAAGAAGAUGGUCAGUUUGUGUUGACUUCUCAUAAAAUCAAAAGUUCAGUUGCGGAACCGUUCGUCGAAUUGAGCCCAUCUCAUAAAUUUGUAGAGGAAUCAACCUCCGAGUGCAAAACAAAUGUUGAACAAGUCUCCAAUUCAGAGCAAAAUCUUCUUCAGAGAAGACCAAGGCUUUCCAGAGUCAGACCCAAACCUAAUCUAGAAGUAUCCAGUCGAGCUUUGCGGCGAAAAGUUCAGCCAGGUGACGGUUCCAAACCUUCAGGUGAAACUUCCACACCUCCAAGUGGCCUUAAGACGUCAGUGGAGAUGGAACCAGGUGGAGAAAAAAUGGACAGUGAAGGUCCAGCUGAGAGGGACUUGAUGGAUCCGUCUGCAGCUGUGGAUGCUCAGGUCUCAACACAAGUCGGUUCUACAUCAACCUCCAAAGCCAGCUCGGUCAGUGCAGAGGGACACUCCUCAACCCAAAGUAUUGAUUCUGCUGAAUCAGAAGCAGCUGACUCUUCUGAGACGUCAAAUAAAGCUCCUCAACCUCCCAACAUCACGUGCAGCAGUCUUGCACAGCGCAGACAGACGGAUGCAGAUUCUGACACUAGCUCGAGGACAGCUUCGUUGGAGCCUCGCCCUGGCAGUCGAUGGCCAGUAGGUGGAGACAUUGAUGAGACGAGAGACAAAUCGUCCUGUCUAGAUCCUGCUUCUCAAGAAGUGUCAUCUACGCAAAAUACGUCGGCUUUAAAUCCGGAGGGGAUCCACACUUAUCCGCUUCUGAUGGAGAUGCUGCCCGAGCAGGUGCCUUCAGAUCCGGAUGAACCGUUCUUCGUCCUUUCUCUGAUGGAGAUCCCGGGGGAGGCGGUAACCAGCGCGGCCGAGAAGCCGCCUCAUCACCCCGUCGCAGAUGCUGUCACGCUGCGGCCGUGGGAUUCUGGAGAGAGUUCCACAGCAGCAGCAGGAGAGAAGUCCGUCUCUGGCGUCUCCACAAAAAGUGCAGAAACAAGUUCUGCAUCUGAAGAAAAACCUGCAGAAAAUCUAGAAACCUGUGUUGCCAGAGAGACGGACGCAGCAGCUGAGAAUAAAGCAGUUAUUUCAACAAGGAGAAGAAGAACUAAAGCUGAAGCUACCGUCAGCCAGAGAAGUGAGGCUGAAGCUGCUUCUGACCCACGAAGUUGUAAAAAAGGAAAAAGCUUGAAGAAAUCUGACAGCAGUUUGGGCUCCAAAAAAAGUAACACAAGCAGUCGUCAGACUAGGUAAGGUAUUUUUUUAUAUAUUAACAAUUUGUCAAUGAUAUUACCCUUUAAGAUCUAGUUUUUCUGUCCCUUACAGAAAAGCAAAAGACGUUUCCCAUGAAGUCAAAACGUCGCCCAGCGAUUCCCCUGCUGCGAAGGCGAAGACGUCUGCUAAGAAAGCAGCUUCUGCGUCACAUGAAGAUGCUGCACCAGCCAAAGUCCGUUCAGCUCCUGUGGGGUCGCAGUCCAGACCCACCGCCGACCAGACACCCGGCACCUCAACUCCCAGCUCCACCCUCCGCACCGCCCGGGUAAGACGGCAACUAGCGGCUGAAAACAUGUCAUUUCUUUUCUCUCAUUUGGGUUUGUGUUGAUCUUUGCAGGAAAGCUGUGCUGAGAUCAGCUCAGCAGAGGAGGAGCCCACCAGCGUGUCGCAGUACUUCAUUAGUGACAUUUUCACAGAAGUGGAUGAGUCAUGAACACCGGAUUCUCAUUUAAAGAAGCUCCUGUUUUUUAGUCUUAGUUGUGAUGUUUUUAUAGUCCAAUACACCCCCCCCCCAAACCCCAAUGGCACUUUGAAUUGGUUUUGGAGUUGAAAUCAGUGCUUUUUGAAAAUGCACUUAGAUGAUAAAUGCUAAAGUCUGAAAGCUAAAGCGGCAGCAGCUGAAUGUUUCAGUUCAGCCUCAAAUUUUACUCAACAACUGUGAAAAUGUAAAUAUGUUGUGUGUUUCAUUUUGUACUUGAUGCCACUUUCUAAAUUGUGUACAGCUUUAUACAACCCUCUUGUGUACAUAAUUUUAUUUAGUUAAGCAAACUCCAUCAAAGGUGAAUUUAUGGAUGUUUCCAUGAAUGGUUGACGAGUAACAGUGGUUUACAAUAAAUCAAGAUAAACACUUGAUUGGGUUUUUUAUUUGACUUUUUUAUGUGUUUCUUUAUAUUUAAUUUAUAACUGUAGAGACU